GAGUAGGGCGGGACACGUGGUAUCCUGUCUGAAUAUGGGGGGACCAUCCUCCAAGGCUAAAUACUCCUGACUGACCGAUAGUGAACCAGUACCGUGAGGGAAAGGCGAAAAGAACCCCGGCGAGGGGAGUGAAAAAGAACCUGAAACCGUGUACGUACAAGCAGUGGGAGCACCUUCGGGUGUGACUGCGUACCUUUUGUAUAAUGGGUCAGCGACUUAUAUUCUGUAGCAAGGUUAACCGUAUAGGGGAGCCGCAGGGAAACCGAGUCUUAACUGGGCGUUAAGUUGCAGGGUAUAGACCCGAAACCCGGUGAUCUAGCCAUGGGCAGGUUGAAGGUUGGGUAACACUAACUGGAGGACCGAACCGACUAAUGUUGAAAAAUUAGCGGAUGACUUGUGGCUGGGGGUGAAAGGCCAAUCAAACCGGGAGAUAGCUGGUUCUCCCCGAAAGCUAUUUAGGUAGCGCCUCGUGAAYUCAUCUUCGGGGGUAGAGCACUGUUUCGGCUAGGGGGUCAUCCCGACUUACCAACCCGAUGCAAACUACGAAUACCGAAGAAUGUUAUCACGGGAGACACACGGCGGGUGCUAACGUCCGUCGUGAAGAGGGAAACAACCCAGACCGCCAGCUAAGGUCCCAAAGUCAUGGUUAAGUGGGAAACGAUGUGGGAAGGCACAGACAGCCAGGAUGUUGGCUUAGAAGCAGCCAUCAUUUAAAGAAAGCGUAAUAGCUCACUGGUCGAGUCGGCCUGCGCGGAAGAUGUAACGGGGCUAAACCAUGCACCGAAGCUGCGGCAGCGACACUAUGUGUUGUUGGGUAGGGGAGCGUUCUGUAAGCCUGCGAAGGUGWSCUGUGAGGSWUGCUGGAGGUAUCAGAAGUGCGAAUGCUGACAUAAGUAACGAUAAAGCGGGUGAAAAGCCCGCUCGCCGGAAGACCAAGGGUUCCUGUCCAACGUUAAUCGGGGCAGGGUGAGUCGACCCCUAAGGCGAGGCCGAAAGGCGUAGUCGAUGGGAAACAGGUUAAUAUUCCUGUACUUGGUGUUACUGCGAAGGGGGGACGGAGAAGGCUAUGUUAGCCGGGCGACGGUUGUCCCGGUUUAAGCAUGUAGGCUGGUURUCCAGGCAAAUCCGGAUAAUCAAGGCUGAGGUGUGAUGACGAGGCACUACGGUGCUGAAGUAACAAAUGCCCUGCUUCCAGGAAAAGCCUCUAAGCAUCAGGUAACAUYAAAUCGUACCCCAAACCGACACAGGUGGUCAGGUAGAGAAUACCAAGGCGCUUGAGAGAACUCGGGUGAAGGAACUAGGCAAAAUGGUGCCGUAACUUCGGGAGAAGGCACGCUGGUGUGUAGGUGAAGUCCCUGCGGAUGGAGCUGAGACCAGUCGAAGAUACCAGCUGGCUGCAACUGUUUAUUAAAAACACAGCACUGUGCAAACACGAAAGUGGACGUAUACGGUGUGACGCCUGCCCGGUGCCGGAAGGUUAAUUGAUGGGGUUAUCCGUAAGGAGAAGCUCUUGAUCGAAGCCCCGGUAAACGGCGGCCGUAACUAUAACGGUCCUAAGGUAGCGAAAUUCCUUGUCGGGUAAGUUCCGACCUGCACGAAUGGCGUAAUGAUGGCCAGGCUGUCUCCACCCGAGACUCAGUGAAAUUGAACUCGCUGUGAAGAUGCAGUGUACCCGCGGCAAGACGGAAAGACCCCGUGAACCUUUACUAUAGCUUGACACUGAACAUUGAGCCUUGAUGUGUAGGAUAGGUGGGAGGCUUUGAAGCGUGGACGCCAGUCUGCGUGGAGCCAACCUUGAAAUACCACCCUUUAAUGUUUGAUGUUCUAACGUUGGCCCCUUACCGGGGUUGCGGACAGUGUCUGGUGGGUAGUUUGACUGGGGCGGUCUCCUCCCAAAGCGUAACGGAGGAGCACGAAGGUUAGCUAAUCCUGGUCGGACAUCAGGAGGUUAGUGCAAUGGCAUAAGCUAGCUUGACUGCGAGCGUGACGGCGCGAGCAGGUGCGAAAGCAGGUCAUAGUGAUCCGGUGGUUCUGAAUGGAAGGGCCAUCGCUCAACGGAUAAAAGGUACUCCGGGGAUAACAGGCUGAUACCGCCCAAGAGUUCAUAUCGACGGCGGUGUUUGGCACCUCGAUGUCGGCUCAUCACAUCCUGGGGCUGAAGUAGGUCCCAAGGGUAUGGCUGUUCGCCAUUUAAAGUGGUACGCGAGCUGGGUUUAGAACGUCGUGAGACAGUUCGGUCCCUAUCUGCCGUGGGCGCUGGAGAAUUGAGGGGGGCUGCUCCUAGUACGAGAGGACCGGAGUGGACGCAUCACUGGUGUUCGGGUUGUCAUGCCAAUGGCACUGCCCGGUAGCUAAAUGCGGAAGAGAUAAGUGCUGAAAGCAUCUAAGCACGAAACUUGCCCCGAGAUGAGUUCUCCCUGAGACUUUAAG
This 2430-nucleotide ribosomal RNA is filed under the name Klebsiella pneumoniae. RNAcentral describes it as "partial 23S ribosomal RNA". The record is from RNAcentral. Lineage: Bacteria; Pseudomonadati; Pseudomonadota; Gammaproteobacteria; Enterobacterales; Enterobacteriaceae.